RNAcentral lists this transfer RNA (83 nucleotides) under Schistocephalus solidus. It matches the Rfam family "tRNA". From Rfam's summary of the family: Transfer RNA (tRNA) molecules are approximately 80 nucleotides in length. Their secondary structure includes four short double-helical elements and three loops (D, anti-codon, and T loops). Further hydrogen bonds mediate the characteristic L-shaped molecular structure. tRNAs have two regions of fundamental functional importance: the anti-codon, which is responsible for specific mRNA codon recognition, and the 3' end, to which the tRNAs corresponding amino acid is attached (by aminoacyl-tRNA synthetases). tRNAs cope with the degeneracy of the genetic code in two manners: having more than one tRNA (with a specific anti-codon) for a particular amino acid; and 'wobble' base-pairing, i.e. permitting non-standard base-pairing at the 3rd anti-codon position. The record is from Rfam by way of RNAcentral. Lineage: Eukaryota; Metazoa; Platyhelminthes; Cestoda; Diphyllobothriidea; Diphyllobothriidae.
GGCCACGUCGCUUAGUUGGCUAGAGCAUUGGCUGUUCUUAAGCUUUCCCCUUGGUGGUGUGGUUUCGAUUCCCACCGUUGCCG